AUCCAAGUCCUGCUUUGGCCAUGCUGCUUUUCACCAAACGUGACCUUUGUCUCUUUGUAGCUGUUCAGAAAAUACAACAGGCCCCAAAAUGAAGUCACUUGUGAUGAGAUUAGAGCACAGAGGAGUUUUUCAUAGAAUGUGCAUUGACCCAUGGCUUUUGGAUAACCACACGUGUCCCAUCUAUAAACUUGAUGUCAUCAAAGCCCUUGGAUACUGAGAUGGUGAUCUGUGG
This is a long non-coding RNA of Molossus molossus (Pallas's mastiff bat), 232 nucleotides long. RefSeq lists it as uncharacterized. The record is from RefSeq and is a predicted model, not a curated record. Lineage: Eukaryota; Metazoa; Chordata; Mammalia; Chiroptera; Molossidae. The transcript has 3 exons.